AAAUCGCAUUGGUUAAUACCUGGUGUGGAUGACGGCACCGGAAUAAGAAGCACCGGCUAACUACGUGCCAGCAGCCGCGGUAAUACGUAGGGUGCGAGUCGUUAAUCGGAAUUACUGGGCGUAAAGCGUGCGCAGGCGGUUUUGUAAGACAGGCGUGAAAUCCCCGGGCUCAACCUGGGAACUGCGCUUGUGACUGCAAGGCUAGAGUACGGCAGAGGGGGGUGGAAUUCCACGUGUAGCAGUGAAAUGCGUAGAGAUGUGGAGGAACACCAAUGGCGAAGGCAGCCCCCUGGGUCGAUACUGACGCUCAUGCACGAAAGCGUGGGUAGCAAACAGGAUUAGAUACCCUGGUAGUCCACGCCCUAAACGAUGUCAACUAGGUGUUGGGAGGGUAAAACCUUUUAGUACCGGAGCUAACGCGUGAAGUUGACCGCCUGGGGAGUACGGCCGCAAGGUUAAAACUCAAAGGAAUUGACGGGGACCCGCACAAGCGGUGGAUGAUGUGGAUUAAUUCGAUGCAACGCGAAAAACCUUACCUACCCUUGACAUGUCAGGAAGUCUUGAGAGAUUGAGAUGUGCCCGAAAGGGAACCUGAACACAGGUGCUGCAUGGCAGUCGUCAGCUCGUGUCGUGAGAUGUGGGUUAAGUCCCGCAACGAGCGCAACCCUUGUCGUUAAUUGCCAUCAUUUAGUUGGCACUUAGCGAGACUGCCGGUGACAAACCGGAGGAAGGUGGGGAUGACGUCAGGUCUCAUGGCCUUAUGGGUAGGCUUCACACGUCAUACAAUGGUCGGUACAAAGGGUCGCCACCCGCGAGGGGAGCCAUCCCAAAGCCGAUCGUAGUCCGGAUUGCAGGCUGCACUCCCCUGCAUGAGUCGGAUCCCUAGUAUCGGGGAUCGCAUGUCACGGUGA
This 911-nucleotide ribosomal RNA is filed under the name uncultured Dechloromonas sp. Its description in RNAcentral is "bacterial SSU rRNA". It matches the Rfam family "Bacterial small subunit ribosomal RNA", at positions 449 to 1365 of the family's 1533-position model. Lineage: Bacteria; Pseudomonadati; Pseudomonadota; Betaproteobacteria; Rhodocyclales; Azonexaceae. The record is from RNAcentral.